This 594-nucleotide ribosomal RNA is filed under the name uncultured bacterium. RNAcentral's name for it is "bacterial SSU rRNA". It matches the Rfam family "Bacterial small subunit ribosomal RNA", at positions 13 to 602 of the family's 1533-position model. The record is from RNAcentral.
UUGAUCCUGGCUCAGAUUGAACGCUGGCGGCAGGCUUAACACAUGCAAGUCGAGCGGAGAGAGGUAGCUUGCUACUGAUCUUAGCGGCGGACGGGUGAGUAAUACUUAGGAAUCUGGCUAUUAGUGGGGGACAACAUUUCGAAAGGGAUGCUAUACCGCAUACGUCCUACGGGAGAAAGCAGGGGAUCUUCGGACCUUGCGCUAAUAGAUGAGCCUAAGUCGGAUUAGCUAGUUGGUGGGGUAAAGGCCUACCAAGGCGACGAUCUGUAGCGGGUCUGAGAGGAUGAUCCGCCACACUGGGACUGAGACACGGCCCAGACUCCUACGGGAGGCAGCAGUGGGGAAUAUUGGACAAUGGGGGGAACCCUGAUCCAGCCAUGCCGCGUGUGUGAAGAAGGCCUUAUGGUUGUAAAGCACUUUAAGCGAGGAGGAGGGUACUGGUAUUAAUACUACCAGGUACUGGACGUUACUCGCAGAAUAAGCACCGGCUAACUCUGUGCCAGCAGCCGCGGUAAUACAGAGGGUGCGAGCGUUAAUCGGAUUUACUGGGCGUAAAGCGUGCGUAGGCGGCUAAUUGAGUCGGAUGUGAAAUCC